CUGGUCAUUUAAGGAAAUAAAGCCAAAUUGUAUGAUACUCUGUGGAUGUGUUGGCCACAAUUUCAAUAUAUUUAGUAUACCCAUGAAAAUCAAUACCAUAAGUAGUUUGAAUAGCAUUUUGAUUAUCACAGUAAAAAGUUGUAGUACUAUGAUGAGUGAGUCCUAUAUAACAAAUACUUGAGCUAGAUGAGUUCAUCCAUA
This 201-nucleotide long non-coding RNA is filed under the name Elaeis guineensis (African oil palm). RNAcentral describes it as "long non-coding RNA (EGUI_LNC034416)". The record is from RNAcentral. Lineage: Eukaryota; Viridiplantae; Streptophyta; Magnoliopsida; Arecales; Arecaceae.